GUUUCCGUAGGUGAACCUGCGGAAGGAUCAUUACUGAGUUUCGAAUGAAGUUGUUCUGGUCUUUCGGGGCAAGUGAACGCUUCUCUCAAUCCAUCUUACACCUGUGCACCUAUCGGGGAAGACUUGGAUCUAAGUUGGGUCACGACGGCGAUCUACAGUCUCCUCUUUAUACCAAAUAACAGUUUUAGAAAGUCUUUUUUGCUUGAUGCAAGCUUAAAUAAAUACAACUUUCAGCAACGGAUCUCUUGGCUCUC
RNAcentral lists this unclassified non-coding RNA (254 nucleotides) under plant metagenome. RNAcentral describes it as "partial contains small subunit ribosomal RNA, internal transcribed spacer 1, and 5.8S ribosomal RNA". The record is from RNAcentral.